RNAcentral lists this ribosomal RNA (467 nucleotides) under uncultured bacterium. RNAcentral's name for it is "partial 16S ribosomal RNA". It matches the Rfam family "Bacterial small subunit ribosomal RNA", at positions 28 to 506 of the family's 1533-position model. The record is from RNAcentral.
GACGAACGCUGGCGGCGUGCUUAACACAUGCAAGUCGAACGGAAAGGCCCUGCUUUUGUGGGGUGCUCGAGUGGCGAACGGGUGAGUAACACGUGAGUAACCUGCCCUUGACUUUGGGAUAACUUCAGGAAACUGGGGCUAAUACCGGAUAGGAGCUCCUGCUGCAUGGUGGGGGUUGGAAAGUUUCGGCGGUUGGGGAUGGACUCGCGGCUUAUCAGCUUGUUGGUGGGGUAGUGGCUUACCAAGGCUUUGACGGGUAGCCGGCCUGAGAGGGUGACCGGCAACAUGGGGGCUGGGGUACGGCCCAGACUCCUACGGGGGGCAACAGUGGGGAAUAUUGCACAAGGGGCGGAAGCCUGAUGCAGCAACGCCGGGUGGGGGAGGACGGCCUUCGGGUUGUAAACCGCUUUCGCCUGUGACGAAGCGUGAGUGACGGUAAUGGGUAAAGAAGCAGCGGCUAACUACGU